CAGCAGCCGCGGUAAUACGUAGGGUGCAAGCGUUAAUCGGAAUUACUGGGCGUAAAGCGUGCGCAGGCGGUUUGUUAAGACAGAUGUGAAAUCCCCGGGCUCAACCUGGGAACUGCAUUUGUGACUGGCAAGCUAGAGUGUGGCAGAAGGGGGUGGAAUUCCGCGUGUAGCAGUGAAAUGCGUAGAUAUGCGGAGGAACACCGAUGGCGAAGGCAGCCCCCUGGGCCAACACUGACGCUCAUGCACGAAAGUGUGGGGAGCAAACAGGAUUAGAUACCCCCGUAGUCCCUGUCUCUUAUAC
RNAcentral lists this ribosomal RNA (301 nucleotides) under uncultured bacterium. RNAcentral describes it as "partial 16S ribosomal RNA". It matches the Rfam family "Bacterial small subunit ribosomal RNA", at positions 509 to 807 of the family's 1533-position model. The record is from RNAcentral.